UCCACAGCCUUAGGUGAGCAGGUGACUUUACCCACACUAACAGCUACUACAAACAUCAUGUUGCUCUUAAGAGUUUCACAUACAAAACCUAAAAAUCCGUCCUAGAAAUGAAGUUAUCUGCACACAGGUGAACGAAACCCCAGCAGGGUCUGCCCAGCAGCCAGCCCAGAUAGGAGGAUGAUUUGGCCACAAGAGUUUUUGUUACUACUACUUUUUCUGUUGUCUCUUGAAAUAUCUAUAGCAGGAUGUUGAUAAAAUGGUAUUUUAAAAAUAAAAUCUUUGAAUCAAAGGAAAAACUUAACCCCUCCUAUAUUUUUGUUACUAAUAAAUAAUGCUUUUGUAAAUCCGAAUGGAAAACUACUUGUAUGUAUUCAUAUUGAGUGGUACUUAAUACCUUUGGGGUUAAUUUAAAAAUGUACUACUUGAUUAAAAUUUCCAAAAAGAUAAAUUCCAAUAACCAAAAAGAAUAAAGCAUUUCAAAGCUAGAAUCAAUUGU
Molecule: long non-coding RNA, 496 nt
Filed under: Rattus norvegicus (Norway rat)
Lineage: Eukaryota; Metazoa; Chordata; Mammalia; Rodentia; Muridae
Description: long non-coding RNA NONRATT029901
Source: RNAcentral